This 715-nucleotide long non-coding RNA is filed under the name Homo sapiens (human). RNAcentral's name for it is "HSALNT0071824". The record is from RNAcentral. Lineage: Eukaryota; Metazoa; Chordata; Mammalia; Primates; Hominidae.
CCAGAUGAUGUUUUAAUAGCCUUAUAAAUGUUUUUUAAAUAACUAGUGAGUAACACUCCACUUACACUUCCAGUAAUAAGAAUCAUUUACUACAAACUAUGCUGACUACCUUAGAAAGUCAUACAGCAUCACAGUGAAAAAGCUAAAGGUACCUGUUGUGCUACAUGAUUCACCAGUAAUUUCUCUGCUUUAAAGGUCUAAAAAUUCUCCUUUCCAUUUUCCUUCCCUUGAUGUUAGGGGCUUAGUUGAGGUUCAUGUACUCAAGCUCCUCCACAAGCUGAGGAGCGAAAACUCUGGCCAUUUUCAUUCCUGCUUUCAUUCCCUAAAUUGAGGAGCUAAGCUGCUGUUAGGCAAAGAACCUAGCUUUUUCAAGAAACCAACCACUGAAUCCCAGCUCUGUCAGGGAAAUAAAAAAGUCUCAGCUACUUCCCCAAAAUUUUUACAUAGAUUGAAUAAGGGAAGCAUACAUAGCUCAGCACAGUGGUUGUCACAUAUUAAAGUCAAUAAACGGUGCUAUUUUAAUAUUGAUAACAGUGUUUAAACAUAUUUCAGUGUUUGCUAAAAUCUUAGUAAUAUUAAGUCCUCUGAGGAAUGCACUUAUAAAGCACACAACUCCAAAUCACUAAAGUCAUCUGACUGGGAAAGCGGGAAGGGGAAAGAAAUUAAGCUUACAGAAAAUGCUUUUUUGUACUACAACUAAAACUAUAACUAAAAC